This is a non-coding RNA of Phalacrocorax carbo (great cormorant), 784 nucleotides long. Lineage: Eukaryota; Metazoa; Chordata; Aves; Suliformes; Phalacrocoracidae. The record is from RefSeq and is a predicted model, not a curated record.
CAGUAGCGCGGGGAAGGGGCGGUGUGUCCAGAAGCCCCUGCGCAAGGAGGGGCUUUGGCCAGGGUCGAUCGACGGUAAUGACGGUCGCUGUUUCUUCUUUCCCUCUCCCAGAGACCGUGCUGAGGACGUGGUUGUCUGUCCUUCCCCCGGGGAUGCCGUUGACUGCGGCCGUCUCAGGCUUGCGUGGCUUCUCUCUGCCCGGCGUUGCCAUCCUCGCAGCGCGGGGGCGAAAAGGGACACACAGAGCCCUUCCCGGCUGUGGACAGGAGCUGCCUCGGCUGAAGCUGGAGACGCCAACGAAAGGUGGAGGACGGCCUAGAGUCUGGAGCUGCAGAAGAGGCAGGGCGGAGAGGAGGGGAAAGAAGCAUCUGAACGGCUAAAUUGUGCCAGCAGCGCUGAGAGCGAGAGUCGCGAUGUCUUCUCAGUGUCUCGUGAUGCUCAAGAGAUGCCCCCCGGCCCGGGUUUGCCUGCCGGUCGUUAAGCGUGGUGAAGGUAAGGGGCCAUCCCUCUGCCUGGGGGCUCCCGGCUCUGUCUCCAGCGGGUGCCCCGCAGGUGCGGCCGCGAGGGCUGCCUGGUGGGGAGAGUCGGGGCCCCCAGGGGCCGGGGCUGUUUGUCGCCCCGGGGAGCCCGUCCCAGCGCGGGAACAUGUCCGAGCAGAGCCCGAGAGAGACGUGACACCGUCCUCUGGCACGCUCCCGCUCCGCCGUGGGGCGGCCGCUAGCCUGCGGACAGGGGCUGGUGGGGCUGCAGCUGUUUGGGGGGCUGCCCCACCUUUUAGAUUUUA